CCCCUCUCAGGGUCACAUCUGGAGAAUUUCCAGUACUCUACCAGUCUUGGCUAUGGGAGGGAGAGUCCAGCAGAGGCAUACCCAUUCCAUUCCUAGCUUGAGCCAUGGCUAGCGAGUGGAAGGCAAUCUGCUACAAUG
Molecule: small nucleolar RNA, 138 nt
Filed under: Ornithorhynchus anatinus (platypus)
Lineage: Eukaryota; Metazoa; Chordata; Mammalia; Monotremata; Ornithorhynchidae
Source: RNAcentral